This is a long non-coding RNA of Argiope bruennichi, 380 nucleotides long. RefSeq lists it as uncharacterized. Lineage: Eukaryota; Metazoa; Arthropoda; Arachnida; Araneae; Araneidae. The transcript has 3 exons. The record is from RefSeq and is a predicted model, not a curated record.
GUUUUCCUCUUAAAGUUGAUGAUUGCUACGACUACUUAAUUUGUUUUUGAUAACGAAGGCAUCCCUGAAACGAAGCAGCUGUUACGACCCAAGUCUAUAUAUACCGAGGCUCUGGUAUUAUGAUUUGUUGACUGUUCUCGAGAACCAGAAAAUUCUAGGAACUUUACAAACUAUGAAUGAAUUUUCGGUAACAUGCUAUUCGAUAUGAGAAUUUAUUCUCCUGUGCAGAGUUAUCUUUCAGAUGGCAAUCCUGAUCAGAAGAAUCUUUUGGCAGUUUCAGAAAAUUCAAAAAACAGUGGCCCAGCCUAUAAAUUACCAACAAUGCUUGAUACAUAAAGAGCAUGGCCCUUAUGAGAUACAGCCAUGAUACAAAUCACAGU